CACGUAGUUAGCCGGGGCUUCUUAGUCAGGUACCGUCAUUUUCUUCCCUGCUGAUAGAGCUUUACAUACCGAAAUACUUCCUCACUCACGCGGUGUCGCUGCAUCAGGGUUUCCCCCAUUGUGCAAUAUUCCCCACUGCUGCCUCCCGUAGGAGUUUGGGCCGUGUCUCAGUCCCAAUGUGGCCGUCCACCCUCUCAGGCCGGCUACUGAUCGUAGGCUUGGUAGGCCUCUACCCUGCCAACUACCUAAUCAGACGCGGGCCCAUCUUACACCACCGGAGUUUUUACCACCCUGCCAUGCGGCAAUGUGGUCUUAUGCGGUAUUAGCAGUCAUUUCUAACUGUUAUCCCCCUGUGUAAGGCAGGUUGCCCACGCGUUACUCACCCGUCCGCCGCUCAGUCACUUCCUCGUCCCUCCGAAGAGUUCUAAUGAAGUGCUUCGCUCGACUUGCAUGUGUUAGCACGCCGCCAGCGUUCAUCCUGAGCCCAGGGACUCCAAAACUCCUA
RNAcentral lists this ribosomal RNA (505 nucleotides) under uncultured Lachnospiraceae bacterium. Its description in RNAcentral is "partial 16S ribosomal RNA". The record is from RNAcentral. Lineage: Bacteria; Bacillati; Bacillota; Clostridia; Lachnospirales; Lachnospiraceae.